This is a long non-coding RNA of Papaver somniferum (opium poppy), 1446 nucleotides long. RefSeq lists it as uncharacterized. The record is from RefSeq and is a predicted model, not a curated record. The transcript is spliced from 6 exons. Lineage: Eukaryota; Viridiplantae; Streptophyta; Magnoliopsida; Ranunculales; Papaveraceae.
UUCCGACGGGUUCCCAUUUCCAGCCAUGGAGACUGGAGAGUGAUUGCUCUCCCAAGUCUCAUGUAGAUGUAGGCCUAGGGUCCGUUGGAGAAAUCUUCACAAAUUACAAGAUUCUCCGCCAUACAAUUCCUCGAGCUCUUUCUCUUCCACAUUUGAUUCAUAUCAUACUAGAUCUUCUGCAGCCAAAGUCUAGGUUUGCUGCUGCCAAAUCAAAGUGCCUACUUAUUAGGUUAAAGUUUGCUGCUUCAGCUAGGAUUUGUUCUCUGAAGAGGCUUCAUUGUAUUGGAAAAGCUAAGCUUGGGGGUGGUUGUCAUGAUCACAAUGUCAUGUUAGCAUUAUGUAGUUGAGGAUGCAACUGGUGUGACAUCUAUUGCAUCCUUAAAUGUUAUUUCAGGGAGGAAGAAGGUGGAGUUUUUAGAACUGCAAGACCUUGUUAAGAGGAUGAGCAGGAGCUGGAAGUAGGAAGCAGUACACGCUGAAUAUUCUAGUGAAGUACAAAAGAUGUAUCCCCAAAGAGAUGACUAUUUUGACAACGCAGGAGAUGCCCAGGAAAAGAAGUUAAAAUACAAGCUUUGCGGCUCUGCAUCUACGAGUUAAUUAAAAAUUCUCAGCUCAUUUCAAGAUUCCUCUGAGGUGGUCAUAUAACUGAUGCAAUGCAAUCUGAACCGAGUCAUUUACUUUUUGAAGUAUAUUUAUGGCUCUUCCUUUAGUUACAUCCAAAUUCCGAUUAUUUCCUCCGACUUCUGGAGGGUGCAACUUUUGUUGUUUUGGAGGCCCUUCUACUGGAGUAAUUAUUUCAAUGCAGUUGACUUUCAGUGUUAGCACCGAAAUCUAGAAGUAUCAAGUUUGAUCAUGCAACCAACCUUAUUCCAGAACUAUCUUUCAAAGUAUCUCCAGAGAGCUUUGUAGAUUCAGACUCGGUAAUAUCAUUUUAACAGCUGUCUGAUAUGCUGAUCAAUCAAUAAAUCAGCAUCAGAUGUUCAAAGAAUCGGAAUGCUGAGUUUUGGUCAAUGACAUUGAUUUGUCGCAAAUUAUUAGAGGGGAUAUACGAAAGCAACCAUGCCAGACAAUUAGUUCUCGGGGUGGUUGAUUUGCUACUUGCAGGCAUUUUUUAUUUCUUAUUUACCUCUUCUCGGAUAUAAUAGUUCUGUUGCACCCAUUUAAAUUUCAUGGUAUUCUUCUGAAAUUAGAAUCGGAGAAUGAAUAAUUUUGGCAUUAAGUAGAUGUCACAUCUUUUAUAUAGCUAUAUCGAAGUAAGCACCGACUUGGCAGCUUGUGUAGUAGUUGGAGUGAUAAACAACCCCAUCAGCUGCCCUAGUUGGUGGGAAGUGGGAACAGGAAGAAUGAAUAACUCGAUUUAUGUUAUCAUUCUUAAUUGGCAUCUGAAGGGAAGAACACAGAGGAAAUUUCUUUCGUAAUUUAUAUAUUAGAAAUAAAUUUUAAUUU